RNAcentral lists this ribosomal RNA (253 nucleotides) under uncultured bacterium. RNAcentral describes it as "partial 16S ribosomal RNA". It matches the Rfam family "Bacterial small subunit ribosomal RNA", at positions 524 to 776 of the family's 1533-position model. The record is from RNAcentral.
UACGGGGGGGGCAAGCGCUGUUCGGAAUUACUGGGCGUAAAGGGCUCGUAGGCGGCCAACUAAGUCCGACGUGAAAUCCCAAGGCUUAACCUUGGAACUGCGUCGGAUACUGGAUGGCUUGAAUUCGGGAGAGGGAUGCAGAAUUCCAGGUGUAGCGGUGAAAUGCGUAGAUAUCUGGAGGAAUACCGGUGGCGAAGGCGGCAUCCUGGACCGACAUUGACGCUGAGGAGCGAAAGCUAGGGGAGCAAACGGG